AGGGGUGUAGCUCAGUUGGCUAGAGCAGCGGUCUCCAAAACCGCAGGUCGUGAGUUCGAGCCCCACCGCCCCUGCCA
RNAcentral lists this transfer RNA (77 nucleotides) under Lentisphaeria bacterium. RNAcentral describes it as "tRNA-Trp". It matches the Rfam family "tRNA". Rfam says of the family: Transfer RNA (tRNA) molecules are approximately 80 nucleotides in length. The record is from RNAcentral. Lineage: Bacteria; Pseudomonadati; Lentisphaerota; Lentisphaeria. RNAcentral also lists the same sequence under 1 other name.